GACGUAGGGCGCGAGCGUUGUCCGGAUUUAUUGGGCGUAAAGAGCUCGUAGGCGGCUUGUUGCGUCGGCUGUGAAAACCCGUGGCUUAACUGCGGGCUUGCAGCUGAUACGGGCGGGCUAGAGUUCGGUAGGGGAGACUGGAAUUCCUGGUGUAGCGGUGAAAUGCGCAGAUAUCAGGAGGAACACCGGUGGCGAAGGCGGGUCUCUGGGCCGAUACUGACGCUGAGGAGCGAAAGCGUGGGGAGCGAACAGG
Molecule: ribosomal RNA, 253 nt
Filed under: uncultured bacterium
Lineage: Bacteria
Description: partial 16S ribosomal RNA
Rfam family: Bacterial small subunit ribosomal RNA
Source: RNAcentral